AUUACCGAGUUUACAACUCCCAAACCCCAUGUGAACAUACCUGUUUCGUUCCCUCGGCGGUGUCCGGCAACGGCCCGCCAGAGGACCCAACAAACUCUUUUGAAUUUUUCAGUAUCUUCUGAGUGAAAAAAACAAUAAAUCAAAACUUUCAACAACGGAUCUCUUGGUUCUGGCAUCGAUGAAGAACGCAGCGAAAUGCGAUAAGUAAUGUGAAUUGCAGAAUUCAGUGAAUCAUCGAAUCUUUGAACGCACAUUGCGCCCGCCAGUAUUCUGGCGGGCAUGCCUGUUCGAGCGUCAUUUCAACCCUCAAGCACCUUCGGGAGCUUGGUGUUGGGGAUCGGCAGGGCGUCCUCCGGGUCGCGCCGUCCCCCAAAUUUAGUGGCGGUCUCGCUGUAGCUUCCUCUGCGUAGUAAUACACCUCGCUCUGGAGUCUCGGUGCGACCACGCCGUAAAACCCCCAACUUUUUUCUGGUUGACCUCGAAUCAGGUAGGACUACCCGCUGAACUUAAGCAUAUCAAUAAGCGGAGGAAAAGAAACCAACAGGGAUUGCCCUAGUAACGGCGAGUGAAGCGGCAACAGCUCAAAUUUGAAAUCUGGCCCUCGGGUCCGAGUUGUAAUUUGUAGAGGAUGCUUUUGGUGAGGUGCCUUCCGAGUUCCCUGGAACGGGACGCCAUAGAGGGUGAGAGCCCCGUCUGGUUGGAUACCGAGCCUCUGUAAAGCUCCUUCGACGAGUCGAGUAGUUUGGGAAUGCUGCUCUAAAUGGGAGGUAUAUGUCUUCUAAAGCUAAAUACCGGCCAGAGACCGAUAGCGCACAAGUAGAGUGAUCGAAAGAUGAAAAGCACUUUGAAAAGAGAGUUAAAAAGUACGUGAAAUUGUUGAAAGGGAAGCGCUUAUGACCAGACUUGGGCUUGGUUGAUCAUCCUGGGUUCUCCCUGGUGCACUCUUCCAGUUCAGGCCAGCAUCAGUUCGCUGCGGGGGAUAAAAGCUUUGGGAAUGUGGCUCCCUCGGGAGUGUUAUAGACCAUUGCAUAAUACCCUGCUCCGGACUGAGG
This 1052-nucleotide ribosomal RNA is filed under the name fungal sp. RNAcentral's name for it is "eukaryotic LSU rRNA". The stretch from base 474 to 1052 matches the Rfam family "Eukaryotic large subunit ribosomal RNA", at positions 1 to 591 of the family's 3401-position model. The record is from RNAcentral. Lineage: Eukaryota; Fungi.